RNAcentral lists this transfer RNA (60 nucleotides) under Camellia granthamiana. RNAcentral's name for it is "tRNA-Gly". It matches the Rfam family "tRNA". From Rfam's summary of the family: Transfer RNA (tRNA) molecules are approximately 80 nucleotides in length. Lineage: Eukaryota; Viridiplantae; Streptophyta; Magnoliopsida; Ericales; Theaceae. The record is from RNAcentral.
GCGGGUAUAGUUUAGUGGUAAAACCAAGCUAAUGAUGCGGGUUCGAUUCCCGCUACCCGC